AGAGUUUGAUCAUGGCUCAGGACGAACGCUGGCGGCGUGCCUAACACAUGCAAGUCGAACGGAGAUACUUUUGAAGCUUGCGAAGGAGUAUCUUAGUGGCGGACGGGUGAGUAACGCGUGGGUAAUCUGCCCAUAAGCGGGGAACAACAGUUGGAAACGACUGCUAAUACCGCAUAAACUGCCUAAGGGCAGGAAAGGUGGCCUCUGAAUAUGCUGCCGCUUAUGGAUGAGCCCGCGUCUGAUUAGCUGGUUGGUGGGGUAAAGGCCUACCAAGGCGACGAUCAGUAGCCGGCCUGAGAGGGUGAACGGCCACACUGGGACUGAGACACGGCCCAGACUCCUACGGGAGGCAGCAGUGGGGAAUAUUGCGCAAUGGGGGAAACCCUGACGCAGCGACGCCGCGUGAGCGAAGAAGGCCUUAGGGUUGUAAAGCUCUGUUUUAGGGGACGAAAGCUAUAGGGAGAAAAAUGCCCUGUAAAUGACGGUACCCUAAGAGGAAGCCCCGGCUAACUACGUGCCAGCAGCCGCGGUAAGACGUAGGGGGCGAGCGUUGUCCGGAAUUACUGGGCGUAAAGAGCACGUAGGCGGGAACUUAAGUCAGGUGUGAAAGACCGUGGCUCAACCACGGGUAUGCAUUUGAAACUGGGUUUCUUGAGGGCAGGAGCGGAAAGCAGAAUUCCUGGCGUAGCGGUGAAAUGCGUAGAAAUCAGGAGGAAUACCAGUGGCGAAAGGCGGCUUUCUGGACUGACCCUGACGCUGAGGUGCGAAAGCGUGGGUAGCAAACAGGAUUAGAUACCCUGGUAGUCCACGCCGUAAACGAUGGAUACUAGGUGUGGGAGGUAUCGACCCCUCCGUGCCGCAGCUAACGCAAUAAGUAUCCCGCCUGGGGAGUACGGUCGCAAGGCUGAAACUCAAAUGAAUUGACGG
This 927-nucleotide ribosomal RNA is filed under the name uncultured bacterium. RNAcentral's name for it is "bacterial SSU rRNA". It matches the Rfam family "Bacterial small subunit ribosomal RNA", at positions 8 to 916 of the family's 1533-position model. The record is from RNAcentral.